This is a long non-coding RNA of Mangifera indica (mango), 549 nucleotides long. RefSeq lists it as uncharacterized. Lineage: Eukaryota; Viridiplantae; Streptophyta; Magnoliopsida; Sapindales; Anacardiaceae. The record is from RefSeq and is a predicted model, not a curated record. The transcript is spliced from 6 exons.
CUCUUCUUUCUUUCAGAAAAGAGCUUCAACGUAUGGAAUAUAUGUAUUAUGUGUUUGUUGGGCACUUGUGAUUUUGCAGACUGCUCAUCCUUUUCUUCCUCAAUUUACAGAAAAUCAUAAUGUUAAAGUUUCAGUUAAUGACAUAGUCAUUAAAGCUGUUGCAGUCGCUCUGAAAAUGUAGCGGAAGCUAAUGCUUAUUGGGAUGUUGAAAAAGGAGAAAUUAUUUUAUGUGAUGCUGUUGAUAUAUCAAUAGCAGUUGCCACUGAGAAGGGACUGAUGACUCCCAUAGUAUAGAAUGCAGAUCAGAAAGCCAUAUCUGCAAUCUCAUCGGAGGUCAAGGAACUAGCUGUGAAGGCAAGGGCAGGGAAGCUUGUGCCAAACUAAUUUCAAGGAGGCACAUUUAGGCUGGUAUCCUUGCUGUUGGUAGGGCAAACGAAGUUGUUGAGCCAGUAAUUGGAAUUGAUGGAACUGAGAAUCCUGCAGUUGUCACAAAGAUGAACAUAACAUUAUCUGCUGAUCAUUGUGUUUUUGAGGAAAAAGUUGCAGGUG